UUCCUGGUGGUCCAGUGGUUAAGACUCUGCUCUCUUAAUGCAAGGGGGCCAGGUUCAAUCCCUGGUCAGGGAA
RNAcentral lists this transfer RNA (73 nucleotides) under Capra hircus (goat). RNAcentral describes it as "tRNA-Lys". It matches the Rfam family "tRNA". From Rfam's summary of the family: Transfer RNA (tRNA) molecules are approximately 80 nucleotides in length. Their secondary structure includes four short double-helical elements and three loops (D, anti-codon, and T loops). Lineage: Eukaryota; Metazoa; Chordata; Mammalia; Artiodactyla; Bovidae. The record is from RNAcentral.